RNAcentral lists this ribosomal RNA (1372 nucleotides) under uncultured bacterium. RNAcentral describes it as "bacterial SSU rRNA". It matches the Rfam family "Bacterial small subunit ribosomal RNA", at positions 28 to 1381 of the family's 1533-position model. The record is from RNAcentral.
GAUGAACGCUGGCGGCGUGCCUAAUACAUGCAAGUCGAGCGAACGGACGAGAAGCUUGCUUCUCUGAUGUUAGCGGCGGACGGGUGAGUAACACGUGGAUAACCUACCUAUAAGACUGGGAUAACUUCGGGAAACCGGAGCUAAUACCGGAUAAUAUUUUGAACCGCAUGGUUCAAAAGUGAAAGACGGUCUUGCUGUCACUUAUAGAUGGAUCCGCGCUGCAUUAGCUAGUUGGUAAGGUAACGGCUUACCAAGGCAACGAUGCAUAGCCGACCUGAGAGGGUGAUCGGCCACACUGGAACUGAGACACGGUCCAGACUCCUACGGGAGGCAGCAGUAGGGAAUCUUCCGCAAUGGGCGAAAGCCUGACGGAGCAACGCCGCGUGAGUGAUGAAGGUCUUCGGAUCGUAAAACUCUGUUAUUAGGGAAGAACAUAUGUGUAAGUAACUGUGCACAUCUUGACGGUACCUAAUCAGAAAGCCACGGCUAACUACGUGCCAGCAGCCGCGGUAAUACGUAGGUGGCAAGCGUUAUCCGGAAUUAUUGGGCGUAAAGCGCGCGUAGGCGGUUUUUUAAGUCUGAUGUGAAAGCCCACGGCUCAACCGUGGAGGGCCAUUGGAAACUGGAAAACUUGAGUGCAGAAGAGGAAAGUGGAAUUCCAUGUGUAGCGGUGAAAUGCGCAGAGAUAUGGAGGAACACCAGUGGCGAAGGCGACUUUCUGGUCUGUAACUGACGCUGAUGUGCGAAAGCGUGGGGAUCAAACAGGAUUAGAUACCCUGGUAGUCCACGCCGUAAACGAUGAGUGCUAAGUGUUAGGGGGUUUCCGCCCCUUAGUGCUGCAGCUAACGCAUUAAGCACUCCGCCUGGGGAGUACGACCGCAAGGUUGAAACUCAAAGGAAUUGACGGGGACCCGCACAAGCGGUGGAGCAUGUGGUUUAAUUCGAAGCAACGCGAAGAACCUUACCAAAUCUUGACAUCCUUUGACAACUCUAGAGAUAGAGCUUUCCCCUUCGGGGGACAAAGUGACAGGUGGUGCAUGGUUGUCGUCAGCUCGUGUCGUGAGAUGUUGGGUUAAGUCCCGCAACGAGCGCAACCCUUAAGCUUAGUUGCCAUCAUUAAGUUGGGCACUCUAAGUUGACUGCCGGUGACAAACCGGAGGAAGGUGGGGAUGACGUCAAAUCAUCAUGCCCCUUAUGAUUUGGGCUACACACGUGCUACAAUGGACAAUACAAAGGGCAGCGAAACCGCGAGGUCAAGCAAAUCCCAUAAAGUUGUUCUCAGUUCGGAUUGUAGUCUGCAACUCGACUACAUGAAGCUGGAAUCGCUAGUAAUCGUAGAUCAGCAUGCUACGGUGAAUACGUUCCCGGGUCU